GCAAAGCAGCAUCGCGGUGGCGGAGCGUCGUUUGCGACGCCCAACACACAAAACAAGCGGUGAGUGCUUUGGGGUGGGGUGACUGCGUACCUUUUGUAUAAUGGGUCAGCGACUUAUAUUCUGUAGCAAGGUUAACCGUAUAGGGGAGCCGAAGGGAAACCGAGUCUUAACUGGGCGUUAAGUUGCAGGGUAUAGACCCGAAACCCGGUGAUCUAGCCAUGGGCAGGUUGAAGGUUGGGUAACACUAACUGGAGGACCGAACCGACUAAUGUUGAAAAAUUAGCGGAUGACUUGUGGCUGGGGGUGAAAGGCCAAUCAAACCGGGAGAUAGCUGGUUCUCCCCGAAAGCUAUUUAGGUAGCGCCUCGUGAACUCAUCUUCGGGGGUAGAGCACUGUUUCGGCUAGGGGGUCAUCCCGACUUACCAACCCGAUGCAAACUGCGAAUACCGAAGAAUGUUAUCACGGGAGACACACGGCGGGUGCUAACGUCCGUCGUGAAGAGGGAAACAACCCAGACCGCCAGCUAAGGUCCCAAAGUCACAGUUAAGUGGGAAACGAUGUGGGAAGGCUCAGACAGCCAGGAUGUUGGCUUAGAAGCAGCCAUCAUUUAAAGAAAGCGUAAUAGCUCACUGGUCGAGUCGGCCUGCGCGGAAGAUGUAACGGGGCUAAACUGUGCACCGAAGCUGCGGCAGCGACGCUUAUGCGUUGUUGGGUAGGGGAGCGUUCUGUAAGCCUGCGAAGGUGUCCUGUGAGGGAUGCUGGAGGUAUCAGAAGUGCGAAUGCUGACAUAAGUAACGAUAA
RNAcentral lists this ribosomal RNA (801 nucleotides) under Salmonella enterica subsp. enterica serovar Kentucky. RNAcentral describes it as "partial 23S ribosomal RNA". It matches the Rfam family "Bacterial large subunit ribosomal RNA", at positions 566 to 1315 of the family's 2925-position model. Lineage: Bacteria; Pseudomonadati; Pseudomonadota; Gammaproteobacteria; Enterobacterales; Enterobacteriaceae. The record is from RNAcentral.